RNAcentral lists this ribosomal RNA (494 nucleotides) under uncultured bacterium. RNAcentral's name for it is "partial 16S ribosomal RNA". It matches the Rfam family "Bacterial small subunit ribosomal RNA", at positions 28 to 507 of the family's 1533-position model. The record is from RNAcentral.
GACGAACGCUGGCGGCGUGCUUAACACAUGCAAGUCGAACGGUGAAGCGCCUUCCUUUUUGGUGGGUGUGGAUGAGUGGCGAACGGGUGAGUAACACGUGAGUAACCUGCCCCCUUCUUCUGGAUAACCGCAUGAAAGUGUGGCUAAUACGGGAUAUUCUGGGUCUGUCGCAUGAUGGGUCUGGGAAAGAUCUUGUUUCGGUGGGGGAUGGGCUCGCGGCCUCUCAGCUUGUUGGUGGGGUGAUGGCCUACCAAGGCGGUGACGGGUAGCCGGCCUGAGAGGGUGAACGGUCACACGGGGACUGAGACACGGCCCAGACUCCUACGGGAGGCAGCAGUGGGGAAUAGUGCACAAUGGGCGCAAGCCUGAUGCAGCGACGCCGCGUGAGGGAUGGAGGCCUGCGGGUUGUGAACCUCUUUCGCCAGUGAAGCAGGCCUGCCUCGUUUGUGGGUGGGUUGACGGUAGCUGGAUAAGAAGCGCCGGCUAACUACGUG